Molecule: RNA transcript, 3429 nt
Organism: Vombatus ursinus (common wombat)
Lineage: Eukaryota; Metazoa; Chordata; Mammalia; Diprotodontia; Vombatidae
Gene name: gastrula zinc finger protein XlCGF8.2DB-like
Exons: 5
Source: RefSeq, a predicted model, not a curated record
AUGCCUCAGCUGCAGCGCAUGCAGGAGAGCCUGGGCCCAGGGCUGGUCUGGGGUCAGAGCGCAACCCGGGUGUCCGAAGGGCUCUCUCUGCAGAUGCCAGUGACAUUUGAGGAUGUGGCCGUCUACUUCUCCCAGGAGGAGUGGGCAGUACUGGACCAACAACAGAAGGAGCUUUACCAGGACGUGAUGAGGGGGACCUAUGAGUUGGUGACCUCGCUGGGGUAUCCUGCUGCCAAACCAGAGGUUAUCUGUAAAAUUGAACAGGAGGAAGAACCAUGGAUGAGGGAUUCCCAGAACCACAGAAGAGGCCUGAAUCACCAAUGGGGUUCUAGGAACAGGAUCAGAAAUGAGAAAGUUAAGGAUAUUGGAGAUAAUAUGGAAGAUCCAGAGACAUUUACAUUCUUGAUGAAGUCAGAGGGUAUUGUUCAGGUCCCCCUAAAGCUGAAAAACAGUAGUAGAGAAAAGUCCUGGAGAAAACAGGCCUAUCCAGGAAGGCCUAGUGUACCCCAAAGGCCAUUGGGGAAAAAGAAGCCCCCAACCUGUGCUGAGUGUGAUAAGAGCUUCAAAAGCAACACAGCCUUGAUCAUCCAUGAGCGCAGCCAUACUGGAGAGAGGCCUUUUAAGUGCCCUGAGUGUGGGAAAGGUUUCCCUUCCAAGGGGGACCUGAAGCGGCAUGGAAAGAUCCACGUAGAGAAGCAUGAUGGAAUGGGAGAGAUGCUCAAAGAUGUUCCUUCAGAGCAUGCCCUCCCCAAGCAUAGAAGACCUGCCCCCAGGAAGCCUCAUGUCUGCCUCCAGUGUGGGAAAGGCUUCAAAAAGGCCGGAAACCUCAAGAAACACAUAAAUGAUCACCUGGCAGAGAGGCCCUUUGUCUGUGGGGAGUGCGGCCAGCGCUUUCGCCUCAAGCAGAUCUUGGUGUCCCACCAGCGGACCCACAUUGGGGAGAGGCCCUACAGCUGCCCUCAGUGUGGGAAGUGCUUUAGCCAGAAGCACCAUCUCAGGAGCCACCACCGAGUGCACACAGGCGAGAGGCCCUUCACUUGUCCCCUGUGCUCCCGAUGCUUCAGCCAGAAGCACCACCUGGUCAGCCACCAGCGCAUCCACACAGGUGAGCGUCCCUUCAUCUGCGUCAGCUGUGGUAAGAGUUUUAAGGACAAGAAGACGCUGACCAUCCACUGCAGGGUGCACACAGGUGAACGGCCAUAUACGUGCUCCGAAUGUGGGAAGGCCUGUAGUCAGAAGCAGCAUUUGAAAAGCCACCUGCGUGUGCACCAGGCAGGGGGCCAAAGACUGCUCCCAUCAUGCCCAGAAGAAAAACCCUACCAGUGCAAGGUGUGCGGGAAGGCCUUCCGGGACAAAAGGAUUAUGUUGACCCACCAGAAGACCCAUGAUGAAGAGCCAAGACACUUCCCAGCACUGGGGAUUGUAGCAUUCCGAAAGAAGGGACCGCUUCUGUGAGGUGACAGCAUGACUGUUCAUGGAUUGCCAUGGCCAACCACUAGAAGCAGCAUAGAAUGGGACAGCUUCAAAGAGCCAUUUGGGAAGAUUACCAUGGGGCCGGACCACCUGGGAGUUUCCAGGGGGAUCAGAAUCAGGAAUACAAAGACAGGAAAAGCAAGAGGAACUCUGGGAGAUGUGUAAGAGCUAAGCCCAAUUAACAAGAUGACUCUACAGAUGGACUCCUGGAACCCAUGAUCUGGGACAAGCAAGGAAACAGGACUGAAGUGUCCUCUUUGUCCCCACUGAGAAUAGAAUGAGAGGACAAAGGCCAAGCCCACAAGAAGGAAACUGAAGAUGUUGGAUAAGAUUUCUAGUAACUGAAGACCACUUGACCCUGCCAGUGUUGCAAAGAGUGUGCUAGGUAAUACACUUCACAGAAGAAGGUUGGUCAAAAUGACCUUCCAGGGUCACCCGUAGCCUGGCUUGCCUUGAGUUGGUAGGAACUCCUCAGUAACUUUCAUCGUCUCCUGGUGGUAUGGGAGAGCCAGAGGGGUCUAGUUUAGAGAUAGGGGAGUGGAACCAGGUUAAACAGUGCCUGUAUGCACAUGGUGGAUAUUCACUGAGGGUUUGCUAAAUGACAGCUCACACUUCUAAUCUGAAGAAUGAGAGGGUUGGAGCAGAUCACCUCAAACACUAAAUCUGUAAUUGAUUAAAUCAUGAGGUUUUAAGGUUUCCAACACAUUUCUCAACUAUAAGUAUCUCCAUUUUACAGAUGAGGAAAGUGGGGAGGCAGUGUUUGAAAAGCAUUGAUUCUGGAGUCGGAUGACCUAAGUGGGUUCAACUCUUGCCUUUGAUGCCAAGUUUUUGCAAAAGCAAAAUGAGGUGAUGAGAUUUAAUUGCCUCAGAGAUUCCUGACAGCUCUAAUUCUAUGAGGCUUAGGGAACGUUAUACAAUCAGAAAAUGCUGAAGGCAAGACUUCAACCCAGGUCCCCAGUGGAAUAGGAAUAGUCAGCCUGGAGCUUUGCCUUCUGGAGUUGUGUUUCCCACAGUUGUAUAGAAGCACCUGGUGAUUUUGCUGCUGGAGAAUGCCUUCGCACUAGAUGACGGGCAGACACUUUACCUGGACAUGGCGGGGGAACAAUGAGCUGGUAAAGUCUAGGAGAGAAGCCUGCCGUUGGUGAGGGAGGAAGAGGGCGUACUUCUGUCCCAGUUUCUUGCUUGUACCAAUCCCAGUUCUCCCAAUACUUAUCUCCCCAGAAUAUACCCUCCUCAUACUGAAGGCCCAAAUUCUCAUUGGCCUAUCUGGACAAAGAUAGCCCUGUUCUGGUAGUGUUUGGAGUCCAGGUGUGCAGACAGAACUAUCUGCCUGGGCCCUGAGGAACAUGGAUGCCCAUUCUGGUAGGCCAACACCUUAGUUCUGUUCCCUCACACAAGCGCCGUUCAGAGCCUUGGACUAUGGGCUUAAAGUACCUCCCCACACUUUUGCACUGCUCCCACACUUAAGACCCCAUCGUCUAUAACUCAUCUGACUGUCCUUUGCCCUGGGUUGUCCGUUCUCCCAUGCUGUCUCCUCCCCUAGCCAGGAGCCUUCCUUGGAGGUGUAGAAAGGAUGACCAGAGCCAGCUAGGUCUGCCCUCUUGAUGAAAGAGUUAGGUUACUUAGCCUCCAGAAGGUAGGUAUAGAUACUCAACCUCCUUGUAGACCAGAGUCCCUAGGUAGGGUGGUCUCUGGAUAGGUCAGAGUUCCAGGUAAACAUCAUCUCCUCCCACCUCUUUCUAUCUUUCUUCCCGUAGGUUCCUCUAUGAAACCUGAGCUGUUGACCUGGCUAAAGCAAAGAGAAGGGCCAGGGAACUGGGCUCCAGGGAAAGCCAAAGUCACUCUUGUAUGAUUUUUAACAUGUGUAUGUUUUUCAGAGCAGGAUUUUGUUUCACUAAAUCAGGGGUGGGGAACCUUUGGCCUCAAGGCCACAUGUGACCUUUUAGGUCCCCAAGU